This 29-nucleotide non-coding RNA is filed under the name Rattus norvegicus (Norway rat). The record is from RNAcentral. Lineage: Eukaryota; Metazoa; Chordata; Mammalia; Rodentia; Muridae.
ACUGCAUGCAGCACAGAUGAAAGUCAGUU